UACAGAGGUCUCAAGCGUUGUUCGGAUUCAUUGGGCGUAAAGGGGGUGUAGGGGGCGCGGUAAGUCGGGUGUGAAAUUUCGAGGCUUAACCUCGAAACUGCAUUCGAUACUGCGGUGCUUGAGGACUGGAGAGGAGACUGGAAUUCAUGGUGUAGCAGUGAAAUGCGUAGAGAUCAUGAGGAAGACCAGUGGCGAAGGCGGGUCUCUGGACAGUUCCUGACACUGAGACACGAAGGCCAGGGGAGCAAACGGG
Molecule: ribosomal RNA, 253 nt
Filed under: uncultured bacterium
Lineage: Bacteria
Description: partial 16S ribosomal RNA
Rfam family: Bacterial small subunit ribosomal RNA
Source: RNAcentral